Molecule: non-coding RNA, 171 nt
Filed under: Phascolarctobacterium sp.
Lineage: Bacteria; Bacillati; Bacillota; Negativicutes; Acidaminococcales; Acidaminococcaceae
Source: RNAcentral
UUAAUAAGCGGAAAUCUAGGUGUGAAUACUUAAUAGAAAAAUUGGUUGGAAGCCAAUACGGUCACGCCGCUGUAAUGUCGAGCAAACCUCAAUUAUUGCCACUGGGAAACUGGGAAGGCGGGGUAAGCAAUGAAGCAGAGUCAGAAGAACUGCCUAGAUUUUUCUACUGUA